ACGGGAGGCAGCAGUGGGGGAUAUUGCACAAUGGGGGAAACCCUGAUGCAGCGACGCCGCGUGAGUGAUGAAGUAUUUCGGUAUGUAAAGCUCUAUCAGCAGGGAAGAAAAUGACGGUACCUGACUAAGAAGCUCCGGCUAAAUACGUGCCAGCAGCCGCGGUAAUACGUAUGGAGCAAGCGUUAUCCGGAUUUACUGGGUGUAAAGGGAGCGUAGACGGUGACGCAAGUCUGAAGUGAAAGGUGUGGGCUCAGCCCGCAAACUGCUUUGGAAACUGUGUGACUAGAGUGUCGGAGAGGUAAGUGGAAUUCCUAGUGUAGCGGUGAAAUGCGUAGAUAUUAGGAGGAACACCAGUGGCGAAGGCGGCUUACUGGACGAUAACUGACGUUGAGGCUCGAAAGCGUGGGGAGCAAACAGGAUUAGAUACCCUGGUA
RNAcentral lists this ribosomal RNA (434 nucleotides) under uncultured bacterium. RNAcentral describes it as "partial 16S ribosomal RNA". It matches the Rfam family "Bacterial small subunit ribosomal RNA", at positions 341 to 792 of the family's 1533-position model. The record is from RNAcentral.